CCGGCGACCGGCGCACGGGUGAGUAACACGUAUGCAACCUGCCCGUCUUCAGGGGGACAACCUUCCGAAAGGGAGGCUAAUCCCGCGUAUAUCGGUUUCGGGCAUCCGAGAUCGAGGAAAGAUUCAUCGGAAGAGGAUGGGCAUGCGGCGCAUUAGCUAGACGGCGGGGUAACGGCCCACCGUGGCGACGAUGCGUAGGGGUUCUGAGAGGAAGGUCCCCCACACUGGUACUGAGACACGGACCAGGCUCCUACGGGAGGCAGCAG
Molecule: ribosomal RNA, 266 nt
Filed under: uncultured bacterium
Lineage: Bacteria
Description: partial 16S ribosomal RNA
Rfam family: Bacterial small subunit ribosomal RNA
Source: RNAcentral